GGGGGCGAUUUGGCUUCGACGGGGGUAAAAGGAACGAAAGUAGCGAACCGAGCUUCCACCUCGUAAAACUGGAACCCUAAAAUUAGUUGCAGACAGAAACUACGCUCUUGCUGCUUAAUUAAAAAGCAGCACGCCUUACCGAUUCCUGCCCGAGGGAUUGAAUAAGGCGUCAUAAAAUCGGGCUUUUCCCCUGCAUGACCCCGGUGUAGGGGAGAAAACAAUGGGGUUAGCUCCUUGCAAAUCCCGCCCUUAGGAGUUGCAUGGGGUGAAUGCUAAAAUAAGGGCUAUGUUCGUAGAAGCUUUCGUUGCUUUGCUUCCGGACGCGGGUUCGAAUCCCGUCGCCUCCACCA
RNAcentral lists this transfer-messenger RNA (350 nucleotides) under Koleobacterales. RNAcentral describes it as "UBA3567 sp002376045 Standard tmRNA". It matches the Rfam family "transfer-messenger RNA". From Rfam's summary of the family: Bacterial tmRNA, also known as 10Sa RNA or SsrA, is named for its dual tRNA and mRNA-like properties. Its role is to liberate the mRNA from a stalled ribosome. Lineage: Bacteria; Bacillati; Bacillota; Clostridia. The record is from RNAcentral. RNAcentral also lists the same sequence under 2 other names.